AGGGGUACAGCUCAGUGGUAGAGCGUGUGCUUAUGAGUAUGUGCGAGGUCCUGGGUUCAAUCUCCAGUACCUCCA
This 75-nucleotide transfer RNA is filed under the name Camelus bactrianus (Bactrian camel). It matches the Rfam family "tRNA". Rfam says of the family: Transfer RNA (tRNA) molecules are approximately 80 nucleotides in length. Their secondary structure includes four short double-helical elements and three loops (D, anti-codon, and T loops). Lineage: Eukaryota; Metazoa; Chordata; Mammalia; Artiodactyla; Camelidae. The record is from Rfam by way of RNAcentral. RNAcentral also lists the same sequence under 2 other names.